GGAUAACCCAUUAGUUGGAACAGGUGGGAAAUCUAUUUGAAGACCUAUUUAAUUUCUCCCAACAGAUCUUCCACCUGUAGCAGUAGAUAGACCACCAAGACCACCACCAACACCACAACCAAUGCCACCAAGACCAGUACCUAUUCAACCAAGACCACCACUAAUUUCACCAAUACCAACAACAAUACCAAGACCGCUAACACUACCACCAAUGCGACUAAUACUACCACCAAGACCACCGACACCACCACCAAAAUUAUAAAUACCGACACCACCAACAACAGCCACCACCAACACCACAAAUACCAUCCAACAAUACCACAACAGUCAAUAAAAUACUGCGACAAAAACUAGGGUUUUCUCGGGUGCUUUUGACGUUUUUAGCAUCAAAACUCAA
Molecule: long non-coding RNA, 397 nt
Filed under: Capsicum annuum
Lineage: Eukaryota; Viridiplantae; Streptophyta; Magnoliopsida; Solanales; Solanaceae
Description: long non-coding RNA (CANN_LNC020772)
Source: RNAcentral